Molecule: long non-coding RNA, 1008 nt
Filed under: Equus caballus (horse)
Lineage: Eukaryota; Metazoa; Chordata; Mammalia; Perissodactyla; Equidae
Description: lncRNA (ENSECAG00000039669.2)
Source: RNAcentral
UUUUGACCACCAGAGUAACUAGGGCCUAAAGGCAAUAGCUUGACCUACAGGAGGGGCUGGAGCCAAAAGAUCAGCCAUGUGGGCAGUAUGUGGUUGAGCCCCAUGAAAACUCUGGACCCCAAAGGCUUGACUGAGCCUCCCUGGUUGGUAAUUCUCUGUGCAUUGCCACACAUUAUGGCCUGGAGGUGGUGAUGCUGUGCAUGCCCCCACAGGACAAGGAUGACCAGAAGCUCUGUGUGUGGACUGCUCCCAGACUCCGCCAUAUUUUAACCUGUAUCCUGUCCCUGUGUGCUCUGCUUGAGCAUAACAGCUGUCAGUGAUUUCUGUUGUGAAGAUAAUAUGGCUGCCAGAAGUCUGGAUGUUCAUCCUUCCAUGUUUAAAACCAGCGAAAAAUCACAUGCCUGUCUAAGGGGAGGCAGAAUUAUCCAAGCGCCACCUCAUUGCAUCAUGUGCUUGCUCUUCCCUCAGCUAAUGCCUGAGGCCAGGGGCCGGGCAGGAUCCACCUCCCCCUCAUUCCUGGGGCCAGGAGGAGAGUCAGGUGCCCACCUAAUCCUAACCUUGCCCAUAGCUGAGGAUUGUUCCAUUCUGGAAACACUGGUGGAACUCAUGGUGCCAGACACCAGGCCUAGUGCUAGAAGCACAAAGCUGGACAAGACAUGGUCCCUACUUUCAGAAGCUCAGAGUCGUGUAAAUCUUACCAUUUGUCUGCCAGAGAUUGAUGGGUACUUAACUGUUUACAACCGUGAUGAGAACAGAGAGUGGAAAAUACAUAUCAGUAAUUAUUAACCAAUGGCAAUUGCAGCAAAGAGAAGCUGAUUCUUACAAUUGGUGUGGGAUGUGUACUUUGAGUAAUGAGGCUAAUACUCAGAGAUGGCGUCCACAGAACACCAAGACACCUGGCCGAUUUGAUCAUUUGAAUCAAGAAAAUAUUCAGACUCAAUGAUUUUGAUGCUCUGUCAUGUAUAUUCACAUUUGUCAACUGAAAUAAAGUUCAACUUGAGAAAUAAA